Molecule: ribosomal RNA, 253 nt
Filed under: uncultured bacterium
Lineage: Bacteria
Description: partial 16S ribosomal RNA
Rfam family: Bacterial small subunit ribosomal RNA
Source: RNAcentral
UACGUAGGGUGCGAGCGUUAAUCGGAAUUACUGGGCGUAAAGCGUGCGCAGGCGGCUUUGCAAGACAGAUGUGAAAUCCCCGGGCUGAACCUGGGAACUGCACUUGUGACUGCAUGGCUGGAGUACGGCAGAGGGGGAUGGAAUUCCGCGUGUAGCAGUGAAAUGCGUAGAUAUGCGGAGGAACACCGAUGGCGAAGGCAAUCCCCUGGGCCUGUACUGACGCUCAUGCACGAAAGCGUGGGGAGCAAACAGG